GAUGAACGCUGGCGGCGUGCCUAAUACAUGCAAGUCGAGCGAACAGACGAGGAGCUUGCUCCUCUGACGUUAGCGGCGGACGGGUGAGUAACACGUGGAUAACCUACCUAUAAGACUGGGAUAACUUCGGGAAACCGGAGCUAAUACCGGAUAAUAUAUUGAACCGCAUGGUUCAAUAGUCAAAGACGGUUUUGCUGUCACUUAUAGAUGGAUCCGCGCCGCAUUAGCUAGUUGGUAAGGUAACGGCUUACCAAGGCAACGAUGCGUAGCCGACCUGAGAGGGUGAUCGGCCACACUGGAACUGAGACACGGUCCAGACUCCUACGGGAGGCAGCAGUAGGGAAUCUUCCGCAAUGGGCGAAAGCUUGACGGAGCAACGCCGCGUGAGUGAUGAAGGUCUUCGGAUCGUAAAACUCUGUUAUUAGGGAAGAACAAAUGUGUAAGUAACUAUGCACGUCUUGACGGUACCUAAUCAGAAAGCCACGGCUAACUACGUG
RNAcentral lists this ribosomal RNA (497 nucleotides) under uncultured bacterium. RNAcentral's name for it is "partial 16S ribosomal RNA". It matches the Rfam family "Bacterial small subunit ribosomal RNA", at positions 28 to 507 of the family's 1533-position model. The record is from RNAcentral.